GGGAAGGAUCAUUACCGAGUUCGGGGUCCUCUGGGCCCCCUCUCCAACCCCGUGUCUACCUCUUGCCAUGUUACUCUGGUGGGCCCGUCCGCGCCGGGAAGGUCUGCGGCCUUGCCCGGUUCGCGCCCCGCGCCCGCCAGCGGUCACUGCAAAACUCAUAUCGACAGUGAUGUCCCAGUGGCAGAACGAAUCGUUAAAAACUUUCAACAACGGAUCUCUUGGUUCUGGCAUCGAUGAAGAACGCAGCGAAAUGCGAUAAGUAAUGCGAAUUGCAGAAUUCCGUGAGUCAUCGAAUCUUUGAACGCACAUUGCGCCCUUUGGCACUCCGAAGGGCAUGCCUGUUCGAGCGUCAUUUUCAACCGUCAAGCCCGGCUUGCCGUUGGGUCCCGUCGCCGGUGACGGUGGUGGACCCGAAAGAUCAGGGCGGUGCCCGUGAGGGUGCCUGGAUGCAACGAGCCUUCGCGCACGCGUCCGGGCGUCCCCCGGCCCCGUCCCAGCCCAAACCGCCUCACAGAUUGACCUCGGAU
This 527-nucleotide ribosomal RNA is filed under the name Catapyrenium exaratum. Its description in RNAcentral is "eukaryotic LSU rRNA". The stretch from base 199 to 352 matches the Rfam family "5.8S ribosomal RNA". Lineage: Eukaryota; Fungi; Ascomycota; Eurotiomycetes; Verrucariales; Verrucariaceae. The record is from RNAcentral.